UGCAGUAAAUUAUACAUCCAUCAAAAAAUAAUGCACAAUUCAAAGGCAGGUCAGACAGUACUGGGUAACACCCACAGUAUGGAGCAAGGUGCAGUUUCUGUAAGACAGAAGCAAGAGGAGAAACCAGACUGAACAACAGUGAAUUCAGGUCGCUGGCCAGUUUCAUGAUUUAAAAAUUUUCCAAACCAGGAUUGAGGGUUUAGUGGAGGAGUUUGUGAGGUGAGUCCAAGGUUUGGUCCCAACAAUAGGCAGGGAAGAGGGGGAUAUCAUAAAAAGACAAAGUCGCAAAUGCAAAAACAAAACCAAAAUCCUUGGGGAAAAAUCCUUUUAGCCUUCUUUUCAAUAGACACUUAAAAAAAUGUUUGUGAUAAUAAAGGCUGUUAUCUUCGGAGAUUUUUUUCUCUUUUCAUAAUUCAUACUUUUCCAUAAUGAAGAAGUAAGACUGUAAGAAUGAAUACACUAACAUUCAUGUCUAAGUGGCUUCAGAUGGUUACAUCUACCCAUGAAUACGGAAGCAUCUGCUGGUUGGGCAAUUCAGUGCAUUUUAAUCCAAGUUAGGAAGGCACACUGCAAGCAGUUCAUGGAGAUGAGCUGGAAAGUCAAAACCCCCACCAUGCUGCUUCCGUAAUGAGCAUUCACUAUGGAAACAGCCUUGGCUCAUUCAGAAAUGCCAUGUGCGGCCAGUACAGGCAGGGAGGGUCUCGGAGGCAAAUGAGCUCUUAAAGAGUUUAAUGAAGGAAGAAGAAGGAGACUGCCUCAAACUACAACUCAGCUCUAAAGAGCUGGGCAUGACGGGCAUGCAGGCGACCCCGCCAUUUGGGAAGCGGAGGCAGAAGAAUCAAGAUUCUCCUGGUACAUGCUACCAUAGACGUCUUCAAACAACAGAGACAAUGGUAGCUGUCACCUGCGCCUCUGGAAUGGAGCCUGCCCAUCUCUAAGGACAAAGCGAUCCUGUUCAACAGCUGAGCACGUGGACACUUCUGUACUUUGGCCUUCACAGCUCUAAUGUGAAUGCUGUUACUAUAACAACUAAGGUCUACCCCAUCUGAGCAGUGAUCCCAAUUCAGGGCUCACUGCAGCUGCUGUAGGUGGCACCACAUGCUUUGAGGGAGACCCCUCCCACCAAGGUCUCACUCCUGCCAGGCUCCUUCAUGUAUUCUCCUCCAGAGAAGGUCGGAAAUGAGUUUGACAGUCUAUCCAUCUUAGUGCUACCUGCACCUACAGGUGAAGCUUCUGCCCUGUGCUCUGUAACAACUAACACCGUUUUAAUUACAUC
This is a non-coding RNA of Rattus norvegicus (Norway rat), 1276 nucleotides long. Lineage: Eukaryota; Metazoa; Chordata; Mammalia; Rodentia; Muridae. The record is from RefSeq and is a predicted model, not a curated record.